Molecule: ribosomal RNA, 1400 nt
Filed under: uncultured bacterium
Lineage: Bacteria
Description: bacterial SSU rRNA
Rfam family: Bacterial small subunit ribosomal RNA
Source: RNAcentral
AAUUCGAUUAGAGUUUGAUCAUGGCUCAGAUUGAACGCUGGCGGCAGGCUUAACACAUGCAAGUCGAGCGGUAGCACAGGGGAGCUUGCUCCCUGGGUGACGAGCGGCGGACGGGUGAGUAAUGUCUGGGAAACUGCCUGAUGGAGGGGGAUAACUACUGGAAACGGUAGCUAAUACCGCAUAACGUCGCAAGACCAAAGAGGGGGACCCUCGGGCCUCUUGCCAUCAGAUGUGCCCAGAUGGGAUUAGCUAGUAGGUGGGGUAAUGGCCCACCUAGGCGACGAUCCCUAGCUGGUCUGAGAGGAUGACCAGCCACACUGGAACUGAGACACGGUCCAGACUCCUACGGGAGGCAGCAGUGGGGAAUAUUGCACAAUGGGCGCAAGCCUGAUGUAGCCAUGCCGCGUGUGUGAAGAAGGCCUUCGGGUUGUAAAGCACUUUCAGCGAGGAGGAAGGUGGUGAGCUUAAUACGCUCAUCAAUUGACGUUACUCGCAGAAGAAGCACCGGCUAACUCCGUGCCAGCAGCCGCGGUAAUACGGAGGGUGCAAGCGUUAAUCGGAAUUACUGGGCGUAAAGCGCACGCAGGCGGUUUGUUAAGUCAGAUGUGAAAUCCCCGGGCUCAACCUGGGAACUGCAUUUGAAACUGGCAAGCUAGAGUCUCGUAGAGGGGGGUAGAAUUCCAGGUGUAGCGGUGAAAUGCGUAGAGAUCUGGAGGAAUACCGGUGGCGAAGGCGGCCCCCCUGGACGAAGACUGACGCUCAGGUGCGAAAGCGUGGGGAGCAAACAGGAUUAGAUACCCCUGGUAGUCCACGCUGUAAACGAUGUCGAUUUGGAGGUUGUGCCCUUGAGGCGUGGCUUCCGGAGCUAACGCGUUAAAUCGACCGCCUGGGGAGUACGGCCGCAAGGUUAAAACUCAAAUGAAUUGACGGGGGCCCGCACAAGCGGUGGAGCAUGUGGUUUAAUUCGAUGCAACGCGAAGAACCUUACCUACUCUUGACAUCCAGAGAACUUUCCAGAGAUGGAUUGGUGCCUUCGGGAACUCUGAGACAGGUGCUGCAUGGCUGUCGUCAGCUCGUGUUGUGAAAUGUUGGGUUAAGUCCCGCAACGAGCGCAACCCUUAUCCUUUGUUGCCAGCGGUUCGGCCGGGAACUCAAAGGAGACUGCCAGUGAUAAACUGGAGGAAGGUGGGGACGACGUCAAGUCAUUAUGGCCCUUACGAGUAGGGCUACACACGUGCUACAAUGGCGUAUACAAAGAGAAGCGACCUCGCGAGAGCAAGCGGACCUCAUAAAGUACGUCGUAGUCCGGAUUGGAGUCUGCAACUCGACUCCAUGAAGUCGGAAUCGCUAGUAAUCGUAGAUCAGAAUGCUACGGUGAAUACGUUCCCGGGCCUUGUAGA